GGCCUUGUAGUGAAGUUCAUGUUGAGUUGCAAGCUCAUUGAUGUACGUUGAAAGCGUGCCGGGGCCU
Molecule: transfer RNA, 67 nt
Filed under: Pedionomus torquatus (plains-wanderer)
Lineage: Eukaryota; Metazoa; Chordata; Aves; Charadriiformes; Pedionomidae
Description: tRNA-Cys
Source: RNAcentral